RNA transcript from Pyrus x bretschneideri (Chinese white pear), 8439 nucleotides. RefSeq lists it as uncharacterized. NCBI's taxonomy places the organism in Eukaryota, Viridiplantae, Streptophyta, Magnoliopsida, Rosales, Rosaceae. The record is from RefSeq and is a predicted model, not a curated record. The transcript has 14 exons.
CUAAGAAAGUUCUUCCAUUUUCAUUAUUUACUCCAUUUCAAAUUACACCUGCCUGUAUUGUUUAGUUUCUUCAUCACAGAACCUUCUUUUUCUUUAUUAAUCUACUUUGAUUUACUUCUAAAAGAGAAAAACUUGGAACUGAAAACCAGAAAAUAAAACAAAAACAUUUCGUUCUAUCAAUUUCGUUGUUUUCUUGUCUCUUGAUUUCAUUUUCUGCCAAUUUCAACUUCCUGUUGAUCGGUUUUACUUGAAAAGGGAAAACAAAAAGCAUACAUACUUUGUUCAGCUUCAUUUACAGACCGAUUGUGCUCUGGCAUUUUGUAGGCAAAGGAAUCUGGAGAGAGAAUGUAGAAGGUUUUGGAAGUGAAUGAAUGAGUGAGACAAUGUCUGCUUCCGACUGUUUCAUGGAUACUGUGUUUUCUUGGUCACUUGAAGACAUUUUCAAUGAGAAUCUGUACAUAAACCAGGUGGAGAAGAUUCCUCAAUCAUUUGAUUCAGUUGGGCGUUAUUUUGGGUCCUAUUCAUUUCCUUUAUUAGAGGAAACUCGUGCACAGGUGCAGUCGAGUAUGGAAACUAUUGACAGAGCACCAUUUGCUAAAGUAGUUGUUUUUGAAGAAUCCGAGUCCAAUUUGGAUGAUACAAGGACAUAUAGUAUCAUGGUUGAUAAGUGGCAAAACAGGCAAAGAGAACGUGGAAGGGAACCAUACAAAACUUUGCCUGGGGAUCUUUUUGUCUUAGCAGAUGCGAAACCCGAAACUGAUUCUGAUUUACGAAGGGCAGGGAGGUCGUGGACUUUUGUAUCAGUCACUAAGAUCACGGAAAAUAAAAUAGAAGAUGAUAUUAAUGAUGAGAAAAUAGAGGCUGAAAUAAAAGAGUUUAAAGUCAAGGCAUCAAAAAGGAUUGAGGUCAAGGAUAACAUGAGCACUCCGCCAUCACUAUUUGUUGUUUUCCUUGUGAAUUUGACCACUAAUCGCAGAAUAUGGGAAGCAUUGCACAUGUUCAGAAAUCUGAAGAUUAUCAAGGAUGUUCUGUGCACUGAUUCUGUGGCUCAGAAAAACUAUCCUCCCUCAUAUGAAAUGGAUGCUGACUUUCGGGAUAAGUUGUUAGUUGAGAGUUCAUCUUCUGGAUUGAAUGAGUCACAAACUGGGGCAGUUUUGGCCUGUCUUGAAAUGUUGUUUUGUGAUUCCAAGUCUACUUUGCAACUUAUAUGGGGUCCACCUGGGACAGGGAAAACUAAAUCCACCGCUACUCUGCUGUUGACCCUGUUAAGGAUGAAUUGUAGGACUCUUGCUUGCGCCCCAACAAAUGUUGCAGUAACUGAAGUAGCUUCCCAUCUUGUAGAGAUGGUGACUAAAGCAGAGUCCAAUGCUUGGUUUUGUCCUCUGGGAAAAAUUCUUUUAUUUGGGAAUAAAGAGGGACUCAAAGUUGGUUCUGAUAUUGAAGAUAUAUAUUUGGAUCACCGUGUCAAAAGUCUUUUCGAGUGCCUGAGGCCGGUGACAGGUUGGAGUAGUUGCUCAUCUUCCAUGAUUAGGCUUCUUGAGGAUUGCAUUUCACAUUAUCAUAUUUUCUUGAAAAAUGAGUUCGCCGAAGUGAAAAAACAAAAUGGUGAUGGUGAAAUGAUAGAGAAAGGAUAUGGAAGUGAGACCGAAGUUAGCAAGGGCCAGUGCAAAUCAUUUCUUGAAUUUUUCAGAGAGAGAUUUGUGUCUACUGCAUUACCCUUAAAAUGUUGUAUUUCUACCUUCUGUACCCAUAUAAGCCAAGAUUACAUUUCGGCACGUAAUUUCCAUGACAUGAUUUCGCUUUCAGGGUUAGUUGAUUCCUUUGGAAUACUAUUGCAAGGUAAUGUUGAUUCUGAAGCACUGGAAGAGCUUUUCUCUCAUUCAGAAGUUGAAGAUGUGCUCGAGCCAGUAGACAACAACACAUUUCAUCUGUACAUGAAGAGAAGAGAGUGCCUUUCAGUUUUACAUGCCCUUCAGAAAUCGAUUAGAAGACUUUACCUCCCAGAUGUUUGGAACAAAAAAUCUAUAAUGGAGUUUUGUUUUCAAAGAGCUUCCUUAGUAUUUUGCACUGCAUCUAGUUCGUUUAAGCUGCAUAGAGUGAAAUUGGAGCCACUGACCAUUGUUGUUAUCGACGAGGCUGCACAACUGAAAGAGUGUGAGUCAACGAUACCCCUGCAACUUCCAGGUGUGAAGCAUGCCGUUCUUGUUGGUGAUAAGUGUCAGUUACCAGCUAUGGUGAAAAGCAAUGUGUCCUAUAAAGCUGGUUUUGGAAGAAGCUUGUUUGAGAGGUUGAGCUCAAUGGGUCACUCUAAACACCUUCUAAACAUGCAAUACAGAAUGCAUCCUUCAAUAAGUUCCUUCCCAAAUUCAAGGUUCUACAAUAACCAGAUCCUGGACGCUCCAAAUGUUAAAAGAAGAAGCCAUGAGAAACGCUAUCUUCCAGGGCCAAUGUUUGGUCCUUAUUCUUUUAUUAAUGUAAUUGAUGGAAGAGAGGAGAAGGACGAGGACGAACAUAGUCUAAAGAACAUGGUAGAGGUUGCAAUUGCUUUGAAAAUACUGCAGAAUUUGUACAAAAGAUGGGUUGUUUCAAAGGAGAAGCUCAGUAUUGGUGUAAUAUCUCCUUAUGCAGCUCAAGUAGGUGCAGUUCAGGAAAAACUUGGACAGAAGUACGAUAAGCAUGAUGGCUUCAAAGUGAAGGUGAAGACAGUUGAUGGGUUCCAGGGUGGUGAAGAGGACAUAAUCAUCAUGUCCACUGUGCGAUCCAAUCAACAUCACUCACUCGGUUUUAUAUCGGAACCACAAAGAGUUAAUGUUGCUCUCACCAGGGCUCGGCACUGCCUUUGGAUUUUGGGAAAUGAGAGAACUCUUUGUGGUAGCGAAUCUGUUUGGGAGGCUUUGGUGCUUGAUGCCAAGAGUCGGCAGUGUUUCUUUAAUGCUGAUGCAGACAAGGAUAUGGCCAAGGCCAUAUUAGAGGCGAAGAAAGCAUUUUACCAAUUUGAUGAUUUGCUUAAUGCUGACAGCUUACUUUUCCGAAGUUGUAGAUGGAAGGUACUUUUCAGUGGUAAUUUUCUGAAGUCGUUCAGAGAACUUACGUCGAUUCAGUUGAAGAAGUCCGUGCUAAAUCUUCUAUUGAAGCUUGCCGGUGGAUGGAGACCUAAAAAGAUAAAUGUCCAGGCUAUUUCUGGCUCAUCAUCAUUCUUGAGUCAAUAUAAAGUUGGACGUCUAUAUAUUGUUUGCGCAAUUGACAUUGCAAAGGAGUUGGAAUACACUCAAGUGUUAAAGAUUUGGGACUUAUUGCCUCUAGAAUACAUCCCAAAAUUGGUAAAUCGAUUGGAUAGUCUUUUCAAGAGAUAUACAGAUGAUUUUAUCAAUCGCUGCAAUGAGAAAUGUCUUGAGGGUGACUUGGAAGUUCCGAAGUGCUGGCCAACCUCUUUGGAUGUGCCUCGGUUGAAAGAUCUUAGUGCCACUGAAAUCGAUCGUGAUUUUGUUGAUGGUGCUUCUAAUGGUAGAAGUUAUGUUGAGAAUUCACAGGUCAGCGAGAGUUUGUUGCUCAUGAAGUUUUACACCUUGUCAUCUGGUGUAGUGAAUCACUUGUUGCUUGACUGUGAGGGUAAAGAGUUGGAUCUUCCAUUUGAAUUAACUGACCAGGAAAGGGAGAUUGUCCUUUAUCGUAAAAGUACCUUUAUGGUCGGACGGUCAGGAACAGGGAAGACAACAGUUUUAACCAUGAAACUAUUUCAAAAUGAACAACGUCACCAUUUGGCAGAGAAAGGAUGCGUUAGUAGUUCAAAUAGCAUGGUUGAGCCGAGUUCUUUGGCUACUCAGGAGAGAACUCUACACCAGCUGUUUGUUACCGUGAGUCCUCAGCUAUGUUUUGCCAUAAAACAACAUGUUCUACACUUGAAAAGAUUUGCAUGUGGUGGAAGUGAUUUGACAGAGAAAAUUUUGAUUGAUAUGGCUGAUUUUGAUGAGGAGGAAUUUCAAUUCAAGGAUAUCAAGGAUUCGUUUCAGGAUAUUCCUCCUGAUUCUUACCCUCUUGUAAUAACAUUUCAUAAGUUCUUGAUGAUGCUGGAUGGAACACUGACUAACUCAUACUUUGAAAGAUUCCUUGAUGCAACAACGCUAACUCACGGUCAAUUGAGAAGCUCAAGAUCAUUUGCAUUGCAAACCUUCAUCAGGACAAAGGAGGUUAAUUAUGAGAGGUUCAGUUCAUCUUACUGGCCCCAUUUUAAUAUGCAGUUAACAAAGAAGCUUGAUGCUUCACGAGUCUUUACGGAGAUUAUAUCUCAUAUUAAAGGUGGUUUAGGAGCCAUAGAAGCAGAUGAUGGCAGACUCAGUAGGGAGGAUUAUGUUCAACUGUCAGAGGGCCGGGAUUCCAAUUUAAGCAAGCAAAAGAGAGAAGUAAUAUACGAUAUAUUUCAGGCUUAUGAAAAAAUGAAGUUGAAGAAUGGUGAAUUUGAUUUGGCUGAUUUUGUCAUUGAUCUACACCAUCGGAUCAGGCGCGAAAAAUUUGUGGGCGAUCAAAUGGAUUUUGUUUAUAUUGAUGAAGUUCAAGAUCUCACCAUGAGCCAAAUUGCGUUGUUUAAGUAUAUGUGCAACAAUGUCGAAGAGGGUUUUGUUUUUUCCGGUGAUACGGCACAGACCAUUGCCAGGGGAAUUGAUUUUAGGUUCCAAGAUAUAAGACAUCUGUUCUACAAGAAGUUUGUGUUGGAAUCAAGAGGCAAUAAGCAUCAAGAAAGAAAAGAAAAAGGACAAAUCUCAGAAACAUUUCACUUGACUCAAAACUUCCGUACGCAUGAUGGCGUUCUGAAAUUAUCACAGAGCAUUGUUGAACUACUUUAUCGUUUUUUCCCUCUAUAUAUUGACAUUUUAAGGCCUGAAAACAGUCUGAUAUAUGGGGAAGCUCCAGUACUGCUUGAAUCUGGAGAAGAUGAAAAUGCAAUCAUCAGAAUUUUUGGAAAUAGUGGAACUCAUAAUUCUAACAUAGUAGGCUUCGGAGCUGAGCAAGUUAUUUUGGUCCGUGAUGUUGGUGCUCAAAAAGAAAUUUUGAAAAUCGUUGGGAAGCAUGCUCUUGUCCUAACCAUAUUGGAAUGCAAGGGGCUUGAAUUCCAGGAUGUACUCUUGUACAACUUUUUUGGAUCAUCGCCCCUAAAAAAUCAAUGGAGGGUGAUAUAUGAGUACAUGAAGGAGCAAGAUUUACUUGACUCUACAUUGCCACAACAAUUUCCAGGUUUCAGUGAAGCUAAACACAACAUUUUAUGCUCUGAACUGAAGCAAUUAUAUGUUGCUGUUACUCGAACGAGACAAAGAUUAUGGUUUUGCGAGAAUGUAGAAGAGCUCUCCAAGCCCAUGUUUGACUAUUGGACGAAGAAAUGUCUUGUACAGGUUAGACAACUGGACGAUUCCCUUGUGCAGGCAAUGCAAGCUGCUAGUAGUCCUGAGGCGUGGAAAUCACGAGGCAUUAAGCUCUAUCAUGAACAUAACUAUGAAAAGGCCACAAUGUGCUUUGAAAAAGCUGGUGAUACUUAUUGGGAAAGGAAGUCCAAAGCUGCUGGCCUUAAAGCUAUCGCUGAGCGAAUGCUGACUUCAAAUCCUGCGGAAGCCAAUACCAUUCUUAAGGAAGCUACUGAGAUAUAUGAUGCUAUAGGCAUGGCAGAUUCCGCAGCUAGAUGUUUUAUUGAUUUGGGAGAGUAUGAAAGAGCAGCUAGGAUUUAUUUGGAUAAAUGUGGUGAACUGGAAAGAGCUGGGGAAUGUUUUUCUCUAGCAAGAUGCUAUCAAGAGGCUGCAGAUGUGUAUGCUAAGGGCAAUUUUUUCUCGGAGUGUCUCACUGUUUGUGACCAAGGAAAGCUAUUUGAAAUGGGUCUGAACUACAUCAAAUCUUGGAAGAAGCGUCCAGUAAAGGACCGUGCUAUGGCUCAAAGUGGAGAAGGAACUGAUGAAAUUGAGCAGGCAUUUCUUGAGAGAUGCGCACUUUACUAUUACAAGUUGAAAGACAACAGAUCCAUGAUGAAUUUUGUUAGAGCUUUUCGUUCUAUAAUUUCAAUGCGAAACUUUUUGAAGGAGCACGCUAGUCUUGAUGAGCUUCUUUUGUUGGAAGAGGGAUUGGGAAACUAUCUUGAGGCUGCAGAAAUUGCAAAACUGAAAGGUGAUAUUCUACUCCGAGCUGAUUUCCUUGAAAAGGCUGGCAAGUUCAGAGAGGCAUCACUGCAUAUUCUAUUCUAUGGGCUUGCCAACUCUCUUUGGUCAUAUGGCAGCAAGGGAUGGCCCGUGAAGCAGUUUUCACAAAAGGAGGAGCUUUUAUCAAAAGCCAAGUCAUGUGCCAAGCACGAGACAGAAAGCUUUUACGAGUUUGUUUGCACUGAGGUUGACAUUUUGUUAAAUGAGCAGAGUGACUUGGUUGUGAUGAAAAAUCACAUGAAUGCUUGCCAGAGACACAGGAGUGUUGGAGGUCAAAUUUUGUCUGCUAAAAAAAUAUUGGAUGCUCAUCUUUCUUCAAGUGGUGAUAAGUAUGUGUGGGAAGAAAUGUUGGUAGAGUGUCCAGAAAAUGGAAUUUCUGAAAAUCAAGCUUCCGUGGAAUCGUUGAUUUAUUUCUGGAAUUUUUGGAAGGAUAAAAUUGCUCACAUAUUUGAAUAUCUCAGAUGCCUCGAAUCCCAGGAAGUUAGUGAAUACAAAAGUUAUGGAGAGUUUUGUUUGAAUUACUUGGGAGUUUGGAGAAUGUAUCAUAAUCUGAGUCCAGUCUAUGUUUUACUGAUUCCUGAUGCUGAUUGGGUUCAUGGAUUGAAUAAAAAAUAUUUUAGAAAUCAAGGCGAAUUGGUCUCCGUUGAUGCUCAGCAGCUUGCUUUGGCCGCUAGGAAUUAUUGGAGUUCAGAAUUGCUCUCUGUUGGCAUGAAAGUUUUGGACAAGCUCGAAGAAAUCUACAAGUUUCCCAGCAAGAAUGUUGAGUCUGUGUUCCGUCGAAGCAGUUGUCUUAGCUAUGUCUGUGAGGUCUCGGUAUAUCUUUUGCAAUCAAAAUGUUUGAACUUAAGGUAUCAUGAUGCGGAGCGACUGCACAAACGUGUAACGUUUUCGAUUGAAAGUAUUGUUCCUUUAGUAUUUCCUGUGGAUUGGAGGAAUUCAUUGAGGGAGAAUAUGAUUUCUCUUCGAAGAACUGAUGCUUCAAAGAAUGUGUUGAAACAAGUAAUAAAUGAGUUUACCAGAGCAAAGAAUGAGCUAUCUUUUGGGCAAAUUGGGAAGCUUGUGAUGGUCAUUCUCGGGACUGGUAAGCUUAAUAAUGACCUGUACAAGAAGCUUGUGAGAAAACUUGACUGCAACCAGCCAUGGCAGGCGUUCAUUGAGAAUCUCAGUGGGAUUGUCGAACAUGGAAACACCAGUCAAGAACCGAAAGAGGUGUCUGCAAUGUUGAGGUUCCAUGACGCUUUAGCUGAAACUUAUAAUGUGAACUGGAGGGCUGUGAAGGAUUACAUAACACCUGAUUGCUUUCUAUACCUUGUAGAGCGCCUUCUGAUAUGGGCGACUUGCUUUCAGGGUCAUGCUAUCACUACAAGUUCUUGUUUUACCGAGUGGCUUAUAUACCAAGGGGAAGAUACCAUCUUACGUUUGAAGGGGGCUGAUGUUCGACCAUCUUUGGAUGGCAUCCUUCCUUUUGUGAUUGACGUGACUCAGGAGUGCAUUUACAAUAAGGUUGAUAUGGUUGAAUGGAUUGGUCGUUUUGUGAUUCAAACGUCCAUCGAAGAUUGGAAGAACUACUAUUCACUACUCAUGUUCAGAUUGGUCGUUAUGUUAUGCUUGGUUUAUGUGAAUUUUGGUAUUGGUCUUGAUUUACUCCAUGAUUUGCUGGGGAGGAACUAUGUCACUGAACAGCUGCCGUCGGAGUUCUAUGAUGCCCUCAAAAACAGGAGGAGCCACAAAUCUGUUAGGUUAGAUGUGAAUGUGCUCGCGGCAGCUCUUAAGAAGGUCGGUAAUCCUUUGGUAAUAGCAAGUUUUGGGACCAAUUGUUCGAGGUUGUUGUGUUCAGAUGCUGUCUUUGUUGACAUGAUGGCCAACCAGUCUAGGGAUGACAUAUUUAGAAAUUUGUUUCGUAAACCAUCUGUCCUAAAAGCUUCGCCAGCUGGAUCUUGCGCUACCAAUUCUGAGGAGGGGAAGACUGGUGCUGCAUUGGAUAAGCCAUGUGACGCCGGGGACAGACGCUAUAAGUGAGGAAAAUUGUGAAUCCAACGAGUCUCCAGAGUCUCCGCAAAUUGAUGUUGCUUCUGUACCGACCGCAAGUGCGCUUUAUGGCACAGCUAAAGAUCCAAAUCCCUCCCCUCCAACCCUCUGUUCUCUCCCCUUCCCAAUCACCCAAAUCGCCGACCCGAAUUCCGAGCUUCCGAAUCUCUCCAACUCCAUGAUCGGAUUCCAAUCAGCCAAUCCAUCCAAUCAAUUUUGAAAAAACCCAGAAAAA